AGCUGGAGAGGGGUCCUCGGCCGCCCGGCGGCCGUGGAUCCGGGAGCCCCCGGCGGCCUGCUCGCCAAGGCGGCGAGGGCGGCGCCGCCGGGUCUCGGGUUCCGGGUGGAGCGAGGAACCUUCGAAUGUUCAGAUACGGUGGAGGAAUGCAGCAGAGCAAUGUGGAAGCAGAGAUCAGCUCUCUCUCCUGACCCUGUGUGCGAAUCAAACUGAAGUAUGCAAUGAUAAUAUGUGACUUAUAAUUAUCAUGAAGAUUUUCAUAUCAACAGAUUUCCCCAUUGACCUUAUCCUACAGAGUGAAGUCUGAUUCGUCUAGGAGGUGCCCCCAAGGACACCUGGUUGGAGAAGGAUUCAUCCUCUAGUCUGAGAGCACUGACCCUAU
Physeter macrocephalus (sperm whale) is the source of this 382-nucleotide long non-coding RNA. RefSeq lists it as uncharacterized. The transcript has 3 exons. NCBI's taxonomy places the organism in Eukaryota, Metazoa, Chordata, Mammalia, Artiodactyla, Physeteridae. The record is from RefSeq and is a predicted model, not a curated record.